Molecule: ribosomal RNA, 644 nt
Filed under: uncultured Mycobacteriaceae bacterium
Lineage: Bacteria; Bacillati; Actinomycetota; Actinomycetes; Mycobacteriales; Mycobacteriaceae
Description: bacterial SSU rRNA
Rfam family: Bacterial small subunit ribosomal RNA
Source: RNAcentral
GGUCGGCGUGCUUAACACAUGCAAGUCUCCCGGAAAGGCCCCUUUUGGGGUGCUCGAGUGGCGAACGGGUGAGUAACACGUGGGUGAUCUGCCCUGCACUUUGGGAUAAGCCUGGGAAACUGGGUCUAAUACCGGAUAGGACCAUGGGAUGCAUGUCUUGUGGUGGAAAGCUUUUGCGGUGUGGGAUGGGCCCGCGGCCUAUCAGCUUGUUGGUGGGGUGAUGGCCUACCAAGGCUGCGACGGGUAGCCGGCCUGAGAGGGUGUCCGGCCACACUGGGACUGAGAUACGGCCCAGACUCCUACGGGAGACAGCAGUGGGGAAUAUUGCACAAUGGGCGCAAGCCUGAUGCAGCGACGCCGCGUGGGGGAUGACGGCCUUCGGGUUGUAAACCUCUUUCACCAUCGACGAAGCCUUUAUUGGUGACGGUAGGUGGAGAAGAAGCACCGGCCAACUACGUGCCAGCAGCCGCGGUAAUACGUAGGGUGCGAGCGUUGUCCGGAAUUACUGGCGUAAAGAGCUCGUAGGUGGUUUGUCGCGUUGUUCGUGAAAUGCCACAGCUUAACUGUGGGCGUGCGGGCGAUACGGGCAGACUGGAGUACUGCAGGGGGAGACUGGAAUUCCUGGUGUAGCGGUGGAAUGCGCA